AGCUCUCUGUUGAGAGAUUAAGUUCCAUGAAGAAAUAUGUUUUUGGACUGGGUUCUGCUCAGGUCUUGGUGACAGCUGUGGUUGUUGGCUUACUUGCUCGUUAUGCUUCUGGGCUGCCUGGUCCAGCUGCAAUUGUCAUUGGCAAUGGCCUUGCGCUGUCUUCAACUGCUGUAGUCCUUCAGGUUUUGCAGGAACGUG
Long non-coding RNA from Salvia splendens (bonfire salvia), 198 nucleotides. RefSeq lists it as uncharacterized. The record is from RefSeq and is a predicted model, not a curated record. Lineage: Eukaryota; Viridiplantae; Streptophyta; Magnoliopsida; Lamiales; Lamiaceae. The transcript is spliced from 3 exons.